Molecule: non-coding RNA, 90 nt
Filed under: marine eukaryotic metagenome
Description: Glycine riboswitch
Rfam family: Glycine riboswitch aptamer
About the family: This family represents the bacterial glycine riboswitch.
Source: RNAcentral
CGACUCUGGAGAGUGACCGGAAUACCGGUCCACCGACGGGGCAAGCCGGACUUCGGUCCGGUCCAUCUCUCAGGUUUCGGACAGAGGGGG